RNAcentral lists this ribosomal RNA (232 nucleotides) under uncultured bacterium. Its description in RNAcentral is "partial 16S ribosomal RNA". It matches the Rfam family "Bacterial small subunit ribosomal RNA", at positions 8 to 231 of the family's 1533-position model. The record is from RNAcentral.
AGAGUUUGAUCAUGGCUCAGGAUGGACGCUAGCGGCAGGCUUAACACAUGCAAGUCGAGGGGCAGCAUGGUCUUAGCUUGCUAAGGCCGAUGGCGACCGGCGCACGGGUGAGUAACACGUAUCCAACCUGCCGUCUACUCUUGGACAGCCUUCUGAAAGGAAGAUUAAUACAAGAUGGCAUCAUGAGUCCGCAUGUUCACAUGACUAAAGGUAUUCCGGUAGACGAUGGGGA